GUAGGGCGCGAGCGUUGUCCGGAUUUAUUGGGCGUAAAGAGCUCGUAGGCGGCUCGUUGCGUCGGCUGUGAAAACCCGCAGCUCAACUGUGGGCUUGCAGCUGAUACGGGCGGGCUGGAGUUCGGUAGGGGAGACUGGAAUUCCUGGUGUAGCGGUGAAAUGCGCAGAUAUCAGGAGGAACACCGGUGGCGAAGGCGGGUCUCUGGGCCGAUACUGACGCUGAGGAGCGAAAGCGUGGGGAGCGAACAGGAUUAGAUACCCUGGUAGUCCACGCUGUAAACGUUGGGCGCUAGGUGUGGGGGGCCUCUCCGGUUCUCUGUGCCGCAGCUAACGCAUUAAGCGCCCCGCCUGGGGAGUACGGCCGCAAGGCUAAA
Molecule: ribosomal RNA, 374 nt
Filed under: uncultured bacterium
Lineage: Bacteria
Description: bacterial SSU rRNA
Rfam family: Bacterial small subunit ribosomal RNA
Source: RNAcentral